GGCGGCGGGAGGAGGCGGCGCGGGCUGGGCCCCGGGCGGCUGCCAGGACAACCAGGGAUUUGCGGCCGGGCCGUACCACUGGCAGCGCGGCAGGGGCGGCCGGCCAGGCCCCGCUGGGCGCAGGCCUAUGGAGGGCGGAACCCUGGAGCCCCCAGGGGAGGGCACGGCGCAGCCUCCUGCCCCCAACAGGAUUCCUCACAUCCCAGGACCAGCUGGAAAAGGUGGUGAGAGUUGGAAAGAGACUGCUCAGUGAGGACUGCCCUGCGAACCAGCUUGGAUUCAUCCCGUUCACCUCCACGUUCUGCACUCGGGGCCGAGGGAAGGGAGGCAGCCCAGGCAGCUAGAGAACUUGAUGAAACACACUCAAUCUGAAUCUCGCUUGAUCGUCAUGCUGACCCAGUGAGUCUACUCAGGGUCAGGCAUCCUUUCCGACUACUCACUCAGCAGCGGAUCCCCACCCGCCUCUGACUCCCAGUGUCUUUCGGCUCCAACGUAAGUUCACCGAACGUCUAAGAGCUGAGGAUUCAAAGGCAUGUAAGACCGCCCCUGCCCUCAGCUGCAAGACCUGUCCGCGAUCCUACGAGCCCCAUUCCGCCCUCUUUCCCCGACCUUGGUCCCCCAUGGGCCCUACAACCAGGUCCCCGACUGACACCUUGACCAGCGAACACAGCAAACAGGCCCGCAGAUGCCGCAGGUCCUUCGGCACCGUCUCCAGGGCCAUCUUCGCCGAUGGGAAGAACAACAGGGAGAUAGACGACCACAGCCUGUGCACCCGCAGGAAAAGCAUUGGGGGCAGUGAAUCCACUGUCUCCCUCUGGAUUGUCUCUGCAGAGACCGAGAAGAAAUCCAGGGACAGCCCCACCCCUCCUUCCUAACUGCGAGAGCGCUAUAGGGUUUCCACUUGCUUCCCACAGGAAUGCUGGCCUGGGAGCUACGGCGGAAAAAAAUGCGUAUUUAUCUUUUAAAACUCCGUCUGUUUGCUCGUUCCGGCUGAUAAUUUAUACUUUGCGCAGUUCUUAGCGCUUAGACACGGUUCCUUUACUAAAGACCAUUUGUAGGAGAUUAGGUGUCCUUUUUUUCCCUUUCAUUUCACCGUCUAGGAAGCGAAAUGCCUUGUUCUAUAGGCACUAAACCACCACCCCUACCAAACCUUUCUCGGGGAAGCAGAAGGGGAACUUGUGCCUUGUGAGGAAGCGACAAAGGCCCCUUCUGGCCCUGGAGACUUCACGCCAAUGGAGCACCAGCUCUCUGUCCUCGCAAUAGCCCGAGUGCAGGCAGAACGCAGUCAUUUGUGUUUAUCUGAGAGGAGCUUUGGGAUAUAAAUAGUUUCAGGCCCCGCUGCGCUGUCAUUCCAGCCCAGCCUCCUGAUUGAGCUGCUUCCGGGCGGGCUUUCUUCUUGUUGGCGGUCCCAUGCUGUGUUCAGAUGGGCUCUGUGACAGGUUUGGAUGUUUUCUAUCACUGAAUAAAACUUUCCACUUUGGAACAUAUUUUCUACACUCUAUUAUCUCAUGUAAGUCCUGCAACAACUAUUAAGUAGGCCCAUUUUAUGGACUGAAAAAGCGAGGCACAGAGUAUUUGCCCAAGGUCUGAGUCACUGAAGUAUGAUAAUGUGUGAAGUGAACAGUAUAAUAAUAAUGACUGAAGCACAGUAAGAAUCCAGUCAUGCUUUCUCCUUCCCUGAUCUCACUAAGCCACACUUUUAGGGGCUUACAAACCAGUUCUUAUUGCCAAGCCCUCUACUCUACCCUAUCCUUUCAUGAAUCGGAGCCUAGCCUCUGAUAACAUAAAUAAUUUACUUCUCUUGAUGUAGAAAGAGAUGACGUUGUUACCCUGAGUGACAGUCACGACAGAACAAAACCACAAGACCAGACCACAUUUGUGGAUAAAUAUAUUAGCAAAUAAAUAUAUUUCUUAACAUA
This 1919-nucleotide long non-coding RNA is filed under the name Homo sapiens (human). RNAcentral describes it as "HSALNT0390798". Lineage: Eukaryota; Metazoa; Chordata; Mammalia; Primates; Hominidae. The record is from RNAcentral.